Molecule: ribosomal RNA, 253 nt
Filed under: uncultured bacterium
Lineage: Bacteria
Description: partial 16S ribosomal RNA
Rfam family: Bacterial small subunit ribosomal RNA
Source: RNAcentral
GACAGAGGUUGCAAACGUUGUUCGGAAUUACUGGGCAUAAAGAGCACGUAGGCGGUCCGCUAAGUCAGACGUGAAAUCCCCCGGCUCAACCGGGGAAGGGGCGCCGAUACGACCGACCUGGAGCGACGUAGGGGGGACUGGAACUUCCGGUGGAGCGGUGAAAUGCGUUGAGAUCGGAAGGAACGCCCGUGGCGAAAGCGAGUCCCUGGACGUCGGCUGACGCUGAGACGCGAAAGCCAGGGGAGCGAACGGG